This is a long non-coding RNA of Amphiprion ocellaris (clown anemonefish), 1635 nucleotides long. RefSeq lists it as uncharacterized. The transcript has 4 exons. Lineage: Eukaryota; Metazoa; Chordata; Actinopteri; Pomacentridae. The record is from RefSeq and is a predicted model, not a curated record.
GGCGGCGUUACAUGUAUAUUAUGCUUUCUUUACUUUUCUCCAACUGAAAACAAACAACUUCUAAUGAAUACAGACUUACAUGUCACUGGAAUGAUCAAAUCCUUCGAUAAGAUCGGCUUCAUCCGCGCUGGUGGCAGAAUCCGGGCCAGACCAGUGGCUGGACUCUUCAUCCGACGCUGUAGUUUGCUGGAGAGCUUCGCUCCAGAUGUAAAAUAGUUUGGCGCGACCAGGUUUUCGCGGCUCCUCAACUAAUGUGUGGAAGUGUGUCAAAGGUGUGUGUGGUGGGUCCGUGUAUGGAUCUGGUAAUUGGAUUUUCCGUUCUGAAACGGGUAUUGAAAAACAAAAAACGAGUGGUUAUUUGAUUUUCGUUUUAAAAUACAAAAAUUAAAAUUGAAAUACAAGGCGUUUUUCCUUUUCAUGAUCGAAAAGGGAUAUACGAUUUUUUUUUUUAAAUGCAUUCAUUUUCGUUUUAUAUUUAGAAUAACAAGAAAGUAAAAUCAGUAAGAGACAGAAACGAAAAAAGGUCCGUUUUUUCAUUUUUUGAGACCGGAAGUGGUCAUCAGCAAGUGUGGAGCCAAACGACAACAAGAUUCUCAGAGGGCGGAGCCAGAGAGCAGCGAUUGGUCAGACUGACUGAGAGGCAGAGAGCAGUGGUUGGUCAGACCAUAGAUAAUAUAGAAGACAGCGCGCUAGCGUAUCUAGUCUAUUUAUGUCUAUGGUUGGCAUGUCUGGUAGCAUCUCUGGCUGCUGUUGACCUUGUUUUUGGAGUAAAACACGGUGGAAGCUGAAUUAGUGAGGAUGACUCCUGCUCCUGUCAUCUCUAAGCUCCUCACACAUCUUUACCUGCACAUGAGGAAAAUCACUCCUGUAGAAUGCAGUGGUUCAUCAGAACCUCUGGGGAUGUCCUGUGGAUUCUGUGGAUCCUGUGGGUUGCAGGGUGGGUCCUACCUAGACCAGGCUGAUCCUGGACCAUCCCACAGAUGCUCAAUCAGAUGUGGAUGUGGGGAGUGUGGAACCCAGAUGUUCAGAGGGAGAUGAUGCCACAUCUGGUCCAGCUGAUGGAAGGUCUUGAAGUUCUCUGACUGGCCUCGACUGAAGAUGGUCGUCUCACUGGAUUUAAGGUUCAGAUGCUCAGUAACAAACUCCACCAAUGAGCCAAACAGGGAAGCUUUAGGUUUAUUAAAUGUUGCUAUGAAGGUAUCGCUGUUUUUCUUUGUGAAUGCAAUGUGCUCCAACUGAAACUUGAAUUAGAACUUAGAAGUAAAUCCUUCCAUCUGAAAGGAUUUAGUUGCAUUAAUAACCUCAUUAAUAACCUCAUAACAUUCUAAUUUUUAUUCCAGUGUUGGCUGGAAAUAGAAUCUCUGUAUUGAUUCAGGUAAAAACUGAACUUCACAGCAUGUUAGAGCAAAACAACCAGAUGAAAACUGUGAUGGUGUUGGAUUGUCAGACCGUAAUGUUGCAGCUCAAAGCAGCUUUUCUAUCUCAGUUCAUUCUGACAUUCAGCUAUGAAUCAACACAGCAGAUGGUGAUCCAUGCUGUGGAAGUCUCACAUCUCCUGAUUUAAUGGAGCUGCUUUGCACUUUUUACAAUGUUUAUUCACCAACACUUUAUUUAAUAAAAGUCCCAUCUAGUUUU